Molecule: ribosomal RNA, 520 nt
Filed under: uncultured Entrophospora
Lineage: Eukaryota; Fungi; Glomeromycota; Glomeromycetes; Entrophosporales; Entrophosporaceae
Description: SSU rRNA
Rfam family: Eukaryotic small subunit ribosomal RNA
Source: RNAcentral
AGCAGCCGCGGUAAUUCCAGCUCCAAUAGCGUAUAUUAAAGUUGUUGCAGUUAAAAAGCUCGUAGUUGAAUUUCGGGAUUGACACAUCGGUCGUGCCUUAAGGGGUAUGAACUGGUGUAGUCAAUUUCUCACCUUCUGGAGAACCGCGAUGUCCUUAAUUGGGUGCCGCGGGGAACCAGGACCUUUACUUUGAAAAAUUAGAGUGUUUAAAGCAGGCAUUUUGCUUGAAUACAUUAGCAUGGAAUAAUAAAAUAGGACGGAUGAUUCUAUUUUGUUGGUUUCUAGGACCACCGUAAUGAUUAAUAGGGAUAGUUGGGGGCAUUAGUAUUCAAUUGUCAGAGGUGAAAUUCUUGGAUUUAUUGAAGACUAACUACUGCGAAAGCAUUUGCCAAGGAUGUUUUCAUUAAUCAAGACGAAAGUUAGGGGAUCGAAGACGAUCAGAUACCGUCGUAGUCUUAACCAUAAACUAUGCCGACUAGGAAUCAGACGAUGUUAAUUUUUUAAUGUAACUCGUUUUGGC